GAUGAACGCUGGCGGCGUGCUUAACACAAGCAAGUCGAACGAUGAAGCCCAGCUUGCUGGGUGGAUUAGUGGCGAACGGGUGAGUAACACGUGAGUAACCUGCCCUUAACUCUGGGAUAAGCCUGGGAAACUGGGUCUAAUACCGGAUAGGAGCGCCUACCGCAUGGUGGGUGUUGGAAAGAUUUAUCGGUUUUGGAUGGACUCGCGGCCUAUCAGCUUGUUGGUGAGGUAAUGGCUCACCAAGGCGACGACGGGUAGCCGGCCUGAGAGGGUGACCGGCCACACUGGGACUGAGACACGGCCCAGACUCCUACGGGAGGCAGCAGUGGGGAAUAUUGCACAAUGGGCGAAAGCCUGAUGCAGCGACGCCGCGUGAGGGAUGACGGCCUUCGGGUUGUAAACCUCUUUCAGUAGGGAAGAAGCGAAAGUGACGGUACCUGCAGAAGAAGCACCGGCUAACUACGUG
RNAcentral lists this ribosomal RNA (466 nucleotides) under uncultured bacterium. RNAcentral describes it as "partial 16S ribosomal RNA". It matches the Rfam family "Bacterial small subunit ribosomal RNA", at positions 28 to 507 of the family's 1533-position model. The record is from RNAcentral.